UAUAGUGGUAUGGGUACGACCAGAAUAAAGAGGGAAAAUAAAGAUCCAGUCACACAUUCAAAGUUUCAAACCAAAAGCAAACGCCUACCUUCCACCCGCUAAAUUCCCCCAAAUACAAUCACCGUAAACCGUCAUUUCUAGGGUUUCCAAUCACCGGCAUAUACAGAUUUCGACGGAACCAUUCCAUCACACUAUUUUGACACAUAUAUCGUCUUCAAUUUCAGUUAUCUGUUUCAACCUUUUUGCUAUCUGUAAAGUUACCUGCAAAGACUUUAUCUUGUAUGACUAAACCGCACAUGGUGACUGUUACUGUCAUUAUGUCGUUCGGAGUUUUCAAGCUUGAUGCCCCAUGCUAAGUUGCUAACUCUACCACCAACACAGUAUUCUUUGAGGUUGUUGACCGUUGCUCCCAUCUUUGUAGAGGUGGCAAAAGUUUGUUUGAUUGGUUUCAAAACGUCCAUUAUAUGACAUUACAGGUUUAGCAAGCUUGAGCUAGAUGAUGAUUAAAGUGCGAGACAUGGGUAGAUUGCACUUGAGGAUGGCUAUAGUUUACCCAUAAUGGUUGCUCAUUUUAGACAUUUGUUUUAUUUUAAGAU
This is a long non-coding RNA of Erigeron canadensis, 596 nucleotides long. RefSeq lists it as uncharacterized. The transcript has 4 exons. The record is from RefSeq and is a predicted model, not a curated record. NCBI's taxonomy places the organism in Eukaryota, Viridiplantae, Streptophyta, Magnoliopsida, Asterales, Asteraceae.